CAGAUGAAAAAGGGAAGGAAGAGGGCCAAGCCCCGCCUGGAGCAGGACAGCUCCCUCAAGAGUUACCUGUCAGGCGAGGAGGUUGAAGAUGACCUGGACCUGCAAGAUAACUUCAGGUUACAAGGCUCUGGUACUUGACCAUGAUGACUCCAUGAGAAAACAGCAGAACGCCAGCUUUGCAGGGACAUCACAGCAGUGAUGCUGUGCUGUCAGUGUUGGGUUGUAUGUUCCUGGUGAUGUCCACAAUGAUGAGCUGAAGAAAGGGGUGUCUGUUGGGCUUCUCCCUGUGAACUUACUCUUAAGUAUUUACUUUUUGAAACAAAUGAAAACAGAGACACAAGACACCAAAACCUCUGGGAUACGAUAAAAGCAGUGCUAAAACGGAAGCUUAUACCAUUAAAUGCCUACUUCAAACAUACAAAAGAUCACAAAUUAACAACCUAA
This 444-nucleotide long non-coding RNA is filed under the name Homo sapiens (human). RNAcentral describes it as "HSALNT0253876". Lineage: Eukaryota; Metazoa; Chordata; Mammalia; Primates; Hominidae. The record is from RNAcentral.